RNAcentral lists this ribosomal RNA (440 nucleotides) under uncultured bacterium. Its description in RNAcentral is "bacterial SSU rRNA". It matches the Rfam family "Bacterial small subunit ribosomal RNA", at positions 338 to 795 of the family's 1533-position model. The record is from RNAcentral.
CCUACGGGGUGCACCAGUGGGGAAUAUUGGACAAUGGGCGCAAGCCCGAUCCAGCCAUGCCGCGUGAGUGAAGAAGGCCUUAGGGUUGUAAAGCUCUUUCACCGGUGAGGAUAAUGACGGUAACCGGAGAAGAAGCCCCGGCUAACUUCGUGCCAGCAGCCGCGGUAAUACGAAGGGGGCUAGCGUUGUUCGGAAUUACUGGGCGUAAAGCGCGCGUAGGCGGAUAGAUAAGUCAGAGGUGAAAUCCCGGGGCUCAACCCCGGAAUUACCUUUGAUACUGUUUAUCUUGAGUGCAGAAGAGGUAAGUGGAAUUCCGGGUGUAGAGGUGAAAUUCGUAGAUAUUCGGAGGAACACCAGUGGCGAAGGCGGCUUACUGGUCUGCAACUGACGCUGAGGCGCGAAAGCGUGGGGAGCAAACAGGAUUAGAUACCCCUGUAGUC